CAACAUAGACUAUAAUUUGGAUAAUAUAUGUUUAAGGACAUUUUUUUACAUAAUAAUAAAUUUGGGAGCAAAAUCAAUGCAUUCAGACAUUCUGAUGCCUCUUGAUUGUCUUGUUGAUAAUUGAAACCACUUUGCUUUCUAAUACCUUCACUUAACAGAAGGAUAUCCUAUCAAAAAACACAACAUCAAAGAUAUGCAUUUCAAAAUUGUAAAAAUUCCCUAAAAGUCAUGAUGAACGCUUUAUUUCUAUUUUUACUCAAUUUCUUAACUGCUUUUACUAGGAAAGCAUUUAUUUUCGAACACAGGAACUUUACAGAUCGAAAAAUAUACAUAAAAGAGUUAACUACUUCAAAACUUUACUUAAAUCUAAAAAACAAAUACAAAAAUAAAUUUAACAAUAAACAAAUUUGAUCAAGGUACACUUGUUUGAUGACCUUGCAAAACGUAAGUUUAUUUGUUUAAGUAACUAAAAGGUGUAAUUGUUUUGUAUAUAAAUGGGGUGGCUAUGUAAGACAAGACAGAAACAAUGUCACCCAUGUUCAAAUACUAAUUGUAGUAAAUACUGGUUUAUAUGACAAGAAACUGGCUAACAAGCUUAUAAGUAAAGACAGAAC
This 614-nucleotide long non-coding RNA is filed under the name Mytilus galloprovincialis (Mediterranean mussel). Lineage: Eukaryota; Metazoa; Mollusca; Bivalvia; Mytilida; Mytilidae. The record is from RNAcentral.